Long non-coding RNA from Ictalurus punctatus (channel catfish), 333 nucleotides. The record is from Ensembl. Lineage: Eukaryota; Metazoa; Chordata; Actinopteri; Siluriformes; Ictaluridae.
GGGUGGAGGAGAACGUGCAGCUGAGUGACACCAUAUCUCAGGUUGUCCAGUGUGCUUUCAAAAUUCUGGAGGUGUACAAACUCCACAGUCGACCCAUCAAAAUAGCAUUAUCAGCUGGGACGUUCGCCAAAAUGAGACUAGGAGAUGAAGAGCAUCAGGUUUGUGCUGUCAUUGGCCCGGCUGUGGAAGAGAUACGAUCGGCUGAAGCGCUGCUCGACCAUGGCGACUUCAUUCUGUGCCCUGAAGCAUGGCGGCACUGCGACAGACAAAACCUUACUGUCGAAAAUAUUGAAAAUGAAGAAGCUGUCAAGGUGCAAUACAGCAAGGAACAGC